This is a long non-coding RNA of Brienomyrus brachyistius, 1843 nucleotides long. RefSeq lists it as uncharacterized. Lineage: Eukaryota; Metazoa; Chordata; Actinopteri; Osteoglossiformes; Mormyridae. The transcript has 7 exons. The record is from RefSeq and is a predicted model, not a curated record.
GGUAUUUUACUGGAUCAUUCCGUCCACACUGAGAGGUUAGGGUAUUUUACUGGGUCAUUCUGUCGACACUGAGGGGUUAGGGUAUUUUAGUGGGUCAUUCUGUCAACACUGAGGGGUUAGGGUAUUUUACUGGGUCAUUCUGUCAACACUGAGGGGUUAGGGUAUUUUACUGGGUCAUUCUGUCGACACUGAGGGGUUAGGGUUAGGGUAUUUUACUGGGUCAUUCUGUCGAUACUGAGGGGUUAGGGUUAGAGUAUUUUAGUGGGUCAUUCUGUCGAUACUGAGGGGUUAGGGUUAGGGUAUUUUACUGGGUCAUUCUGUCGACACUGAGGGGUUAGGGUAUUUUAGUGGGUCAUUCUGUCAACACUGAGGGGUUAGGGUAUUUUACUGGGUCAUUCUGUCAACACUGAGGGGUUAGGGUAUUUUACUGGGUCAUUCUGUCGACACUGAGGGGUUAGGGUAUUUUACUGGGUCAUUCUGUCGACACUGAGGGGUUAGGGUUAGGGUAUUUUAUGAGGCAUUCUGUCAACACUGAGGGAUUUGGGUUAGGGUAUUUUACUGGGUCAUUCUGUAGACACUGAGGGGUUAGGGUAUUUUACUGGGUCAUUCUGUCGACACUGAGGGGUUAGGGUAUUUUACUGGAUCAUUCUGUCCACACUGAGAGGUUAGGGUAUUUUACUGGGUCAUUCUGUCGACACUGAGGGGUUAGGGUAUUUUACUGGGUCAUUCUGUCCACAUUGAGAGGUUAGGGUAUUUUACUGGGUCAUUCUGUCGACACUGAGGGGUUAGGGUAUUUUAGUGGGUCAUUCUGUCAACACUGAGGGGUUAGGGUAUUUUAUGGGGCAUUCUGUCGACACUGAGGGGUUAGGGUUAGGGUAUUUUAUGGGGCAUUCUGUCGACACUGAGGGGUUAGGGUAUUUUACGGGGCAUUCUGUCGACACUGGGGGGUUAGGGUAUUUUACGGGGCAUUCUGUCGACACUGAGGGGUUAGGGUUGGGGUAUUUUACGGGGCAUUCUGUCGACACUGAGGGGUUAGGGUAUUUUACGGGGCAUUCUGUCGACACUGGGGGGUUAGGGUAUUUUACGGGGCAUUCUGUCGACACUGGGGGGUUAGGGUAUUUUACGGGGCAUUCUGUAGACACUGAGGGGUUAGGGUUGGGGUAUUUUACGGGGCAUUCUGUCGACACUGAGGGGUUAGGGUAUUUUACGGGGCAUUCUGUAGACACUGAGGGGUUAGGGUAUUUUACGGGGCAUUCUGUCGACACUGAGGGGUUAGGGUUGGGGUAUUUUACGGGGCAUUCUGUCGACACUGAGGGGUUAGGGUUGGGGUAUUUUACUGUCUGAAAUUUGUUUGUGGCAUAUUAGUGCUUUUGUUCAGCUCAUCUCUGAGUAGUAUUCCGAUGAGCUUCUAACACUACGAGAAAGCUGCAUUAUUUAAUACUGCUUCCAAAGGUCAUUCCUUUUGUUAAUUUUAACCACGCUGUCAUGCAUUCCUGACUGACUUGUCAAGUCUAAGCUCGGUUGGGAAAUCAGAGACAUGCAGUGACCCUUUUGAUCUGAGACUUUCUGUCUUAAACGCCAUGAUGCUGCCAUGUCUGGGAACCGGAGACCUGUGAUGCACGUUAAUGAACAUGGUAUAGACCAAGCCCUGGGGGGAGUGUGGGCUGCGAGAGAGACUGACCCUGCAAGAGACCCCUUACAAGCCCAGGGUGACAUUCUUAAUUUUUGUGAGCACUUCUGCACUUUUUGUGACUGAUUAUCCAGUGUUUUGGAGCAAUAAAAUCCCAACCGACAGGCAACCAAUAAGAUAUCAACUACAGGCAACCAGUAAGAUACUCAGAGC